RNAcentral lists this unclassified non-coding RNA (994 nucleotides) under Eurytemora carolleeae. RNAcentral describes it as "uncharacterized LOC111715692". The record is from RNAcentral. Lineage: Eukaryota; Metazoa; Arthropoda; Copepoda; Calanoida; Temoridae.
GGGAAAUGUUAUUUACAUUAAAAGUUCUGGCAGCUGGCAACUGUGAUGAUGAGGUAGCUCUCCUAGAAGACUUUAUCAGUUAUGCAAGAGGUUUGCAUCAACCUUAAACAUCAAGGAGAAAUCAGAUAUAAAUACACUGAUAUUAAUGUAAUGAACAUUCCCUGGUCUUGUAUAAAACCCCACUUUAUGUUAUGUACAUGCUUGUUUUUAAAAGAUAACUUAGUUUUUGGAUAAGAUGCAUACAAUUUCUGAAUUGACUUGCAACAAUACAAAUUCUGAAUCUACUUUCAAUGAUCUGGCGAUGGCGACCGUACCCAAAGGUAGAUGGUAGAUUCAUUAUUGGAAUUAGUUGUUUUAUUUUCAAAAUAUAUUCCCUUCAUUGCGACUAUGAAUAUUCUGAACUUACUCUCCGUGAUCUGACGAUGGCGACCGUACCAAAAAGUAGAGGGUUUGUUCAUUAUUGGUAAUAAUUGUAUUGUUAUUAGUAUAUGCAUUUUAUACAAAAAAUAAUAGUUGUUUUGGGGAUGGCAAAAUUAGUUUUGUUAUUUAAUACUACAAAAUUGAUAACUGCCGAGAUGGAACUCUAUUCUGAAUGUAAUCUUCAGUGAACAUAGAAACCAAGAACCAUUGACUUUUCUUGAACACGUAGAGGAGGAAAAUGCACCAAGAAUCCAACGAUUUAGAAGAUGACCUGUUUUCAGAGUUCUCAGUGUCUGAGUUUCUGUCAAGAAAGAUUCUGGUUAUCAAGAUGACAUUCUUGAACUGGACGAGGUUGAGAAUGCCAAAAAAAGUCUAUAAAUCAAAAUGUGAGAUCAAGAUAUCAAUGUUAUAGACAUUGCACAGUUCAAGACGAAAAUCAGUUAUUUUGAAGGACCAUUUAGAAAUGCGAAACAAACAUUUGAAUGAUAUGUAAACCUGUUGUAAAGCUAGUUUUUAACUGUCGACAGUAGUUUUGUAACCUUGCUCAUGUUAUUCUUAAAUUUUUAAUCGUUUA